CUGGUCUACAUGAGCUGUUCUUCAGAGCACUCCUAGAAAACAGCCAUCUGAUGCCGGGGGAAACAGUGGUUUUCCUGUGACCUGCCAAAGGCAGAGCUGGGAUCUGAUGGAAAGCAGGGGCUCCGGGACCUCAGACAUAACCCAGGGUCCAAAGGUCGCUGACUGGGCUCACCUCCACUCGUCUUUCCCCAUCAGCAGUGUGUGGGUUUCCUGUGCGCAUUUCCCACCGGUCACUCUCAGGCCUUGAGGCUGCUUCCUCCUGUCAGUCUAUCCUGCCACCAGUGAACAUGCUUGAGCUAAAAGAGGAGCAUCAGUGCUUCUGGACAAGAGCUGUGGCCAUGACGCUUGUCCACGUCAGUUCUAGAGCAGUGGCCCUUGGCUCCUCACAGCUACAGAGUGAGGGAAAGUGCGCGUAGAGGGCGUCGUCUCUGGCAUCCAGUUAUAAAACAUCAAGGGAUCCUGUCAGAAUCCUGGAUUUCUUCCAUAGUGUCAGACUCCUGUGUCUUAAAAAAGCAUUCCCAACAGUAUCUCUAGUACAUCAGACUAAACCGGAGUGAAGCCACUGCAGCCCGGCUCCUACGGCUCCUCUAGGAAACCCCGUGUGUACUGCUCACUUCCUCACUGCUCACUGCAGGCGUCUCACUCCAGACCUAAGAACUCGGUCCUACGGCCUUGCUGCAGUACAAUUGACAUCCGGCAAACUAAGUUUAAAGUGUACAGAUUGCCCCGAGUUAACACUGCAGUUGCCACUGUCAAUGCAUGUCACCCUCAAGUCUCCCUUCACCUGAUUUAAAGUGACAUAGAACAUGCUGUUUAGAGAUAGACAGUCCAGUCCCUUUCAGCACGUGUUUUGAAAAUUGUUUAUGUGUCGAUGUAAGGUCAUCCCACUUUGGUACACAUAGCUGCAAACCUUUUCUGACUGUUCUUCACUGCAGACCCCGCAAACCAAACUCAGCCAUCUCCACCCAGCCUCCCAGUACCACUGUGGCCAGUUACACCACAGUUAACCCCUGGGCUCGCUCAGGCCACCUCUGUCUGCCAGCCACAGAGGGCAGGUACGUUCCUCUUCCCAGGCCUGGCACCUGCGGCACAUACAGUGAGCUAACAAGCCUCGUGUGCUUAGAGGCAGCCCUGCCCAGUCACAGUAUUACGUACAGUGCUGUGCUCUGUUUGCAAAACCAUUAAUGACUUCAGGCUUGAAGGAAGCUGGCUCUCACGCCUUUCCCCUGGCGUGUCUGCUCUCGUGUCAGGAUGACGACGGCAUCCCCAAACACUGGGAAACAUUCCCGGGAUUUUCACACACAGUUUCCAGUCUCACACUUGUGUAAGAUACCUGCUGAUCUAUUUUUACGAAUGUCUUGAAUUAUAAAUUCAAUUUCAAAAGU
This 1385-nucleotide long non-coding RNA is filed under the name Mus musculus (house mouse). RNAcentral's name for it is "predicted gene, 50350". The record is from RNAcentral. Lineage: Eukaryota; Metazoa; Chordata; Mammalia; Rodentia; Muridae.